UCGAACCACCUAGUAGCUGGUUCCCGCCGAAGUUUCUCCCAGGAUAGCGGAUUUGUCACACGGCUUCGACGUUUCGAGCAAUGGUUCGUGCACCAGGGGGUUAUAUACCUUCGGGCAGGUCUCAUACUACAAAGCGUCGACCUGUACUCUGUUCAGAGUUCUUAGUAGCGUACAAAUCUCGUGGACCGUUUUUGGUAAGCAGAUACGGUGAUGUGGUAAACUCCAUGUCUCACGUUAAGGUGUGAAAUAAUCGGGUUUCAAAGGUUAUCUGCGCAUUUAGACAGUCCGACGGUGGCCAUGGAAGUUGGAAUCCGCUAAGGAGUGUGUAACAACUCACGGACCGAAUGCGCAGGGUCCGAAAAUGGAACGCUUUUCUCCGGUUGACCAAUUCGUGAGUGUCCAUCGCUUUGAUUGGACAGGUAGGUGGGCACUCCUCAUGCUACGUCAUGCUGUAAAGGUGACAAUAGCUUGAGGGGGUGCAGAUCUUCAUGGUAGUAGUCGUCUUACAUGCAGAGCACGGAAGUAGAAAAGGUUUUCUGGGCAACAACUUGACCCAGAGUUAGUCGGUGCUAACUGUGUGACAACAGGAAAGCAUAGCGCAUUCGCGCACGGAUUCGGUCUGCAUGGCGACAAUAAUACGUUCAUAUAACCUGUUGAUCUGUCCCUUAGCUUUUUUGACGAAGGCUUUAACUGUAUAUUUUGAUGGGGAAGGACAUUACGUCGAGAACCAUCUAGCUGCAGAAAUACUCCAUUCUUUGUAGUGGGCAGUUCAUCAGGUUCGUUUUUUGAACUUUCGUUGAUCAAUCCUCCGUACCCACAUCCGCAUCAGGUCUCUGGGGUGCAAAGCCCAUCGUGAUGGUACAAAAUAGGCCAGGGAAGUCGGCAAACUAGAUUCGUAACCUUGGGAUAAGGAUUGGCUCUGCCAUUUCGGCGUAACCGUUUAUUCGGCUGCCCGAGGCAGAACUGAGGCCGCAUGGGGAAUCCGACAGUUUAACUAAAACCUAGCAUUCUGAUAGGAAUUGUCCAUAUUACAGUAUGUGAGUUCUGCCCGGUGCCUUGACUGUUACGGUGAUGCAGGUCAUCCAAGCGCGGGUUAACGGCAGGCGUAACUAUGACGCUUUCAACGUAGCGAAAUGCCUCGUCAUCUAAUUAGUGACUCGCAUGAACGGAUCAACGAGAUUCCCACUGUCCCAGUCUGUUGUCCAACGAACCCACUGCUCGAGGAACGGGUCGAGCUGAGACAGAACGGCAAGAAGACCCUGUUGAGGUUGACUCCAACUACUACAGUUUCGCACAUGGCAUGGUGUAGAGUAUGUGGGAGCCGCAAGGCGUCGAUGAAACACCACAACUUGUCACUGAGCGGGACCUACCCAUUUAUACCAUGAUUAUUCUACCGGUAAAUGUGGGGAAAAUUAGUGGCGGGGAGUUUGGCUGGGGCGGUACAUCUGUUAAAACAAACCACAGGUGUCCAAUCUCUACCUCAGUCGGGAGGGAAAUCCGACGUAGACCAAAAAGGGAAAUGGUAGAGAGAUGAAUUCGUCUAAAGGCCGAAUUCAACGUGAAAGCGCGGCUUAUCGAUCCUUUCAUUUGGCGGAAAGCGCGGUGAGAGGUGCCUGAAAACUUACCACAGGGAUAACUGAUUUGUGGCAGCCAAGCGUUCAUAGCGACGUUGCUUUUUGAUCCUUCGAUGUCGGCUCUUCGUAUCAUGGUGUUGUAGAAUGCUGCAAGUGUUAGAUUGUUCACCUAUUAAUAGGGAUCGUGAGCUGGGUUUAGACCGUCGUUAGACAGGUUAGUUUUGUCCUU
RNAcentral lists this ribosomal RNA (1803 nucleotides) under Caridina multidentata. RNAcentral describes it as "eukaryotic LSU rRNA". It matches the Rfam family "Eukaryotic large subunit ribosomal RNA", at positions 935 to 2996 of the family's 3401-position model. The record is from RNAcentral. Lineage: Eukaryota; Metazoa; Arthropoda; Malacostraca; Decapoda; Atyidae.